Long non-coding RNA from Gallus gallus (chicken), 17440 nucleotides. Lineage: Eukaryota; Metazoa; Chordata; Aves; Galliformes; Phasianidae. The record is from Ensembl.
AGGCGGCGGCGGCGGCGCUCGGGAGAGUCCGUGCUUCCCCUCCCCCAGCGCUGCCGUUGCCGCGUCGCUUCCCCUUCCCUUCCCCCCCGUAACCCCGCGCGUGAGGGCGUAGCCGCCGCCGAGGAAGGUUCUCGUUGCUCUCCCUCUUCCCCGCCCCUCUCCCGGGUGUAGCUGCGCUCGGGGGAGGCCCUCCAUCCGCCCUCCGCUGCCGUAGCGCCCUCCUCGGCCUCCCCUCCCCGAUGUAAGUCAGGCUCCGAGUAACCGACCGGGCUCCGAGCCCCUACACAGGGUUCUGGGCCCUGUGAAGUGACCUCAUUACAGUUGUGCGGCGUUGUGGCGGAGCGUGUGGCACUGGGGGGGGGCUGAGGGAAGGGCCGGAGCCUGCUCACAUCUCUGCUCUGUGGGAACGGCGCUGCUGGGUGGGAAAGGCAGUGCCAGUGUUCUUUGUGUGCUGGUGGAUCCUGACGGAGGAGCAGUGUGGCAUGCGUUACUGUUAGGCCGAAGAGGGCCUGCACUGUUAGCACAGGGAUUUAGAUGCGUGUGCAGGGAAAACGGACCUGUGUCAUGCAGGUACUGUGAGUGUCCCUUGUCUUGCUGCAGGAGGGUUGCUGGAGAAGGAUCUGGUAGCACGAGUCUGGCCUGGGAUUUCUGUAGCCUUAAAAUAUAUUUUCUGGCUCUGUAUUUUAUCUCAGGAUUCGGGGGGGGAGGGGAGGGUGAAAAAUGUAUGUUUUCCAAUUCUAACACGUUUUUCUUCUCAAGGAGUGCGGCACAUUGUACUGUUUGGGUGGGGUGCUCAUGCGUUCAGAGCAGUUUGGUGCUGGUUCCCAUAUCUCUUUUUCAUAUGGUACAACGUAACGUGAGCCUCUGCACCUGACCCAGAAAGCAAACUUAACAGCUAAAAUUGCUGAGGCGAAUGAUGGUGAUCUGUUAAAUUUAGAAAUGUUUGGCAGCGCGUUUCCAGUCUUAAUACGUUCACAGGUGUGGUUUGUUUCUUUUCUGUGCAGUGGCAACCUGGUGGGGCAUGAAGCUUGAAUUUCUGGUGGAUGCGUUAUGUUAAAACGACUGGAAUGGAAGUUAUUGAGUAUGUGACUAAUGUAGAAGAAUCCUGUAUAAUAGACACUACUUAAUGUGUUACAUAAGUAACGUGAGGUGGAGCCUGGUUGCAUAAGAAACAGCUGGGAAUGGGGGAGCUGCUGUACGCAGUCCGUAUUAGCUGCAAUUAGAGCCUGCAGGUUAUGUGUGCUGGGGAGGGGAGCAGUGGGCUUGGACAUCUGAUAGUGCUACAUUUUUCCUUUGUACCAGGAAAGAAAUAGAGAGAGUAAUAAAGGAUGACAGUGCAAAGCUUUUUGAAGUUUGGAAUCUCAUCUGAGCUUAACUUCUGUGAUGUAUGCUGCUUCCUGAAAGAAACCCCCCUUUUUUUGCAUGUCAGAUGGUGGCUGUCAGCUGAGCCUUGCAGCAGCCAGUUCUGUGCAGGGUACUGCAAAGAGCAGGAUUCUUGAUCCUAGAGGUUGUUAACGCUGUUCAGAAAAACGAAGCAGUGGAAGUAGUGUUAGGAGGAGGCCGUUGGUUUGUUGACCCAACAUGUAAGUGACUGGAUUAUUGUUUCUUCCUGUAUAGACAUACUAUAGCACAAGGUAAAUAAUCCCUUUGUAAUAGAAUCUUCUAGAGAAGCUUCUAGAGCGCAGCAAUUCUUACGAGAUAGAACAGAUUUUAUUUGGGACCUGACAUGAAUAUUUCCUGGCUAUGUACUUAGUGGAGAGUGUUAAUGUGAACUGAAGAUGACGAAAAACACGUUCUACUUCAUUAGCACUUGCAUUUAGGCUUGCAGUCCAUGAUUACAGAGUGGGGAGCAGUUGUCUCUCUCACUGUAAGGGAACAAACUGAAUACUUACGUUCUUACAUAAGUAGCUCAUAGAAUACUCAGAAAUCAAAAGUUUCUAUGUGGUAGAGAGCUUCAAUUUGUAAAGAAGCCUUUUAGUCAGCACCUAUUAAUACCAGAUUUAGUUUUAGGAAUUAAGAGCUGAACUUUCUUAAAAGUUCUGUGUAAUGGGUAGCUUGUCGCAGAAGCACUCGAACUGCAGAGUCCUUCUGUUCUUAUGACACAACAGAAAUGAAGGAAUACUCUAAUAAUAAUAUUUUUGUUUGUUUCAGGGCAGACCUGUUAGCUGUUUUCAGGGAAGCACUGUCUUCUUUGAGAAGUGAUAACUUUCGUGGUGGUGUAGCACAGUCUUGAAAUUAUGUCUGUGAUGUAUUCUGAAAUUACUUCUGCUGCAGAUGAAUAACAGCAAAUGCACAUACUGCUUUGAGACAGAAACCUAUGGGAAGGGGAUUUGCUUGAAGGCCAGUCUGUAAGCUGUGCCUUUAUCUGGAAGGUAUGGGAAACAAAGGAAGCUGUAGGAGAGGGAGGUGUUUAAAAAGUAGUUCGUAUUUAUGGUAGCCAACCAGGGAGAGAAACAGUUUCUACUUAACUGUAAUUCUUCCCUUUUACUGAAGGCAUUUCAAUUGGCUGUGUGUUCUCCAGCAUUGAGACCUGUGGUCCUAACUUGCUGCGGUAGCCUGUCUGUGCAUGUGUAUAUGGUUUGUGCUUUUGCUAAGACCUGUUAUUUAAACAGUACUGUUUACAGUACUAGUCGUAUGAAGACUGACAAGAGUUCAAGGGUACGUAGAGGAGAAGGGAGAGAGGGAUACGAAGCGUAAUAGAUCCGAGUGUGCAUUAAUGCCAUAGCUGAAGCAGUGCUCAUACUGAAAGAUGAUCCUGUACCUCUUCCCAGCUGUUCAUUCUUGCUUCUACGCUACUCCCCCCCCCCCUUUUUUUUUUUUUUGGAAUGGCACAAGUGUUCAUGUGGGAAGUGGCACAGGAGAACAGAUUUAGUGUAAGCCUGAUUAGAAUGGAUCAUUUUUUAAUGUGAAGGUUGGCUGCAUGGCUUCACAAACAGUCCUGCUUGAACAGGAAUAGGAAGAAGCAGCUGCAGGGAGAAAGAAUGGAGAUGUGCAAGUUUUACCUGUUUGGUUUUUUUUUUUCCCUUAUUAAAGAGGCAAUUCUUAAGGAAUCGAAGUGGCAAAUCCUAACGGCAGUUUUAGAGUCAGAAUCACUAUAAUCCUUGCUUAAGGAGUUGGGCAUAUUUUUUUUAAAAAUGUAUGUAAGGUAUUACUAGGUUGACCUACAGUUGUAGGAACAGCAGGUGGCAGGGUCAUUUCAGAUGCAUUGAUAGGAUAACCUACAAAAAUGUUCCGGCUAAAGCUGGGAAAGAACAGAAUUCCAGUUAAGAGUUCACAGGACUUUUGAACUUAAUGAGCUUAUUUCAUUGGAACAGCAUGGAACUUGAGGGAGGCUUUCUUGCUCCUGAAGUGAUUGGUAAUGUAAUAACUGAACCGCUUGGUGAAGAAUUAGUUGUACUGGAAGAGUUCUAAGCUAAUCUUUAAAAAAAAACUUGUCAUCUCAGUGGGUCACAAUGGUCUCUUGUCAAAUUAGUAUGUGUUGCUUGCACGUCCAGUGACUUUCUACUGAGCAGAAACCAAUCAGUGUCAACAGAUAUUUCCACCUGGAUUUGGAAGGACUGUUUGAAGAGCAGCAGGACAGGAGCAUCCUUUGCGUGCAACUUGAGGGUUUGUGUUAGGAUAAGCUUUAGUUGACUCAGAAGGAGUAGUAAGGGUUCUCUUGUGGUCAAGCGUGGAAGCACUGUUUGACAGCUUGUUAAUGAUGUACAAAUAUGCAGCAUUCCUUUUUCAACAGUAAAGUGCAGCUGCAAUGCAGCAUUACUUAAUGUUUCUAGAAAGGAUUAACUUCAGAAGACUGCUGUAGUCCUGGUCAGUGUGGCCUAUUCAAAAGUACACAAUUAGGAUGUCUAACUGCUGUAUUCAGAGUGGGAAGCUUUCUGACUGGCUACAAUCAUGUUUCCUUCUUGCUAACCUCAGUAGGUUGACAACUAAUGAAACAUUGUGUUGGUGAAGCUUUGUACAAUUCUUUGUACAAUGAUUAGUAUAUGUACUUCUUCUUGGUUGGUUGUCGUGUUCAGGUCUUUGGUAGCCACUGGGUGCAAUGCUAAUACACUUGCAAUAUACCAAACCCUUACGAGUCCAAGGCUAACUUGUGUGGCCAAUCUGGGGUGUCACUGUCAAAACUAGUGGGGGGGACACAAGAAGAGGGAAGAGCUGUGUGGAAAAUAAGUACUUGACAUCUAGUUCUGUCUUGUUCCUGCCUCCCAUGUUUCUGCCCUCCCCGAUUAGAUCACUGUCAUGUGGUUCCCUAAAUUUAAGUGAAAAAUGAACUGGAGAUUUAUAGUUGUGCUGCUGUUAGUGUAACCUAAGCUGUAGCUUUGGUCCGGUCUUCUACCAGGAUAAUUCUCUUCUAAGUGCUGAACUGGGGUAGUUGUGCUGCUCCAUUUUGGGCUGUAAUGUUUGUACUGCUGUCUUAUCUGAGACAGGAGGUGUCCCUCCAGGAAAAACAACGGGCCUUCUAAUUAAAAGACUUAUUGAGAGCAUGUUUUUUAAUACUGUUACUACCCCUGUACUGAUUUCGAAGGCUGCUUUUUGAUGAAAUGAAACUGUUGCUUUUGUCAAGGUAGUACUGCACACUGAAUUUGUCUCCAGAGCUGCGUGCCAUCAUCUCAGUGCUCAUACACUGGAGCAGGCAUAUCGUAAGCUUAUAAAGGCAUGCUGGGCAGUUGUGAGAUCCUAUUUUUAAACUGCUUCUGAGAAACACUUCUGUCUACUGUCUCUGCACAAGCAUAGGAAAGAAUAUACUUCAUCUAGGAGCCACGGUGUCUGCGCUCAACUGACAGCAGUUUUUGAACUUGAAGUGUCUCCUCUUUAGAAGAGAUAAUACAUUUGAAUCUGUGCUGAUUUCUUCUGGGGAGGGGAAAUGACCGUAACGAAGAGGUAGUGGCAGUGGGCCUUUGAGUUCUUGACUUCACGUACCUGUAGCAAGAGAUGGAUUUGUGGUACCUGACAGAGUAACCAAAUGUGAAGAGGAAGAAAUUGGGUUGUUGAAUCACCUGCUUUGCUGUGCUUAAAAAUGCAGGAAUGUUUUUGGUGGUACCUCUUGUGAUGAGUCUGGGACAUAGCAGGUUUUCUUAGCCUGCUGCUGACUUGUGAAAACUAUUACUGUAAUUCUGUAAUACUACCAUGUCAUACCCUUAAAUUUCCAUUGACUUGAAAAUUGCAUAAAAAUGCAGGUGGGUUUUAUAUGCAAGUAAAAUAGUUUUUCAAGGUUUUUCUUCUCUUUCCCAGAUCAUCUACUUAAGGCUAAACUUUAAAUAUAAACACUGAAUGUAGGUGUGCAGCAUUCUUGCUGUAGCACUGAGGGACUCCUGAAAUUGGAGGACUUUUUCAGGGUGUAUAUAUAGUAUGUUGUUUGGGGCAAAAAUAGGGAAUAUAAAGGAAGCAUUUAGAUUGUUUUCUUUCUUUUAAAUUUGGUGAGCAGGAAUAUUUCAGAUGAGGCUAAGUACUAUGAACAAGAAGAAAAAAACAUGCUGCUGUCAGAUGGAUUAUAGAGAGCAAAUUCAACCUACUGAAUUCUACAUGUCUUAGAGCUUUUUCAUCAGGUGACUCCUAAAACUACAGUUGGUAGUGUAGACCUAAUUAAUGGGAGGGAAUGGUUGUCACAAGGUAUUAUUAGGACUGUGUCCUGAAGGCUGUAGUUAAGCCUGCACUAUUUCUCAGAGUUGACUGUGCGUAUUUCUGUUUCACUAUUUUUUCUGGAACAGGCAAGCUGCUCUUCUACCAUUUCCCCCCGGCUAUUGUGCUGCAAGUACUAUUGGUCUUGCAAGCAGCUGUUAGCUACGUUGGUUUAUCUUUUAAUUCAGUAGCAUAACUCCUUGGUAAUCCUGUUCAAGUAAAUAGGAGUAGUUAUCUGCUGUUCUUCUUGGUGUUGGUUAUCCAGAUUUUGCCUUCUAGGCCAAAUGCUAGAACGUACUUGGAGAGCUUUUUGUUAAAGCUGUCAUAACCCCAUCCUACAGUUAGCAAAGCAAGGUGAUCGUUUGGGGAGUAUGACACUUUCUCCUGCUUACGUCACUUUACUUAAACAUAUCUUAAUUUUAGUAAUGCAGUGAUACUGCAACAAUGUUCCAGCAGCUCUACCCACUUUAGUAAGUUAGUGAGAAUAUUCAGGCAGCACUCAGGGCCUGUUCUGUUCACUUUAAUGGCUCUGCUACCUAGUCUGAUCAGAACUAUAGGCCUACAUCGCAAACUUUCCACUUGACUAAUGCUCACAUCCUUACAGUAUAUUUUGUAAGUAGCACAGCACAAAGUAAGCAGAGAUCAAACUGUCUGUAGCUGCUCCUAUCUAGAUGUGACUUGCUGGAAGGUACUUCUGCUUGUCUUUAAGUGCUGCAUAAUGCAUGGAUUUGUCCAAUAGGCAGCCUGUGUAUUUGACAGGAAGUGUCUUAUGCUUCUCCUUUUUGCUUGAAUAGCGUUGAACAGCAAUUAUACACUGAUUGUGCUCAUUACAAGUAAAUUCCACAUCCUGUUUAGAAUAGGAUGUACAUAUGAACAAGUACAAAACAUCUGUUGCAUCUUCCUAGAAAUAGCAUCUUGCAAACUUAGAUAUUUCAGCUUCACAGCUGUUCAGAAGCUGUUCUGUAUUUAAAAUUCAAAGCCUUUAAAGGUUGUAUGAAAUAACAGUUUAAAAUAAGUCGCUUUUUCUUUUUUUUUCCCCAGUAUGAUGUAAAAAUACUGUUCUGGAGUUGAUGCUUCCUGCCCUUCUGGGUCAUCAGUCUGUUCAGUGGUGUUCUCCACUCCAUACAGACUAUCAGAGUUAAAAAACAAACAAACCUGGACUGGUUGUUGAAAAGUCCAGUAGAUUUUUCUGUUUCUGCACCUUUCUAAAACCCUACAUUGAGUCUGAUUUUUGGAUGUGCCCACUUGGCCUUGGAGCAAAUAAGAGGUUUUACAACUGUUCAGAAACUCUUUUACUGUAGCUCUUAAGAUGGAAUCUUGCUCUACUUGUCAUACGAUAAAUAAUGAGAUGCUUUGUUGAACUCAGUUGUUUUUCCUUUACAUUUGUUUAACAUGCGAGCAUUGAGACUUAGGUUUUUUUGACAGUUCAGUUAAGCAAGAACAUGUCUGACUUGUGUUAUUUGUUACAAGCUCCCUUGAUGUGGAAUAUUCCCUGUUCAGAGGAGACUCCUGGCCUUCUUGUCUUUUGCAGGAAAGAAAGGAUGAAAUGCAUUCUCUUGCAAGCAGACUUUAAAAAUGUCAGGUAUCCAUUAAAUCUGGUUAAACAAACUGUUCUUCAGUGCAUGAAAGAUGAAAGGGUCAAAAGCCAGCAUAUCAAUACAUGUGGAUGGCCGUGCUUACAAAUAUUUACAGACUACCGAAGGGAGGAUGGUGAGUGAAGGCUUCUACAGGUUAAGGCAUCUGUUUAGAGGAAAGAGUAAAAGUAGAGAUGGGUUGAAGCAAAGAGUGUAUUCCCAGUGCUAACUGGAGGUGUUUUUAAAAAACAAACAACAAAAAAGAGCACCUGAGUGAAAUUUGUCUGUAUUGGGCAGAAAAUGAGCAGGCCUAACCUGUACUUCUUGAACAGCAUACAACUUUUAAGUACCUUCAGGCUAUGUCUAGAGUCAAUUGUAGAAUUGAUUAGAACAGAGGUAUUGUAUGCAAGUGCAGAGUUUUAAAUGACUGAAAGUUUGGAGGAGAAUCUUCUCUGUAUGGAAAACAUCCCUAUUUCAAACACUUGUGCUGCAUUGUGCAUCACAUGAUUGCUGGUUGUUGUGUAAUAGGAAAGCAUGGGUAGUUUUUUUGUUUUUUUGUUUCUUCCAUUCAUCUUAGGGAGCUUGUGAAGGGAAACAUAGAGUGGGGUUGUUUUUAGCUAUAAUUUCCUUUCUUCUGGGAGCUCAUAUCUGAACUGUCAUGGAUUUCUAGCACUUAAUCUGCCAGGUGGAAUACCUUGGUUUCCUGCCUAUAUAGGCAAUUUAAGUAUGCUCUGGGGGUAGUGGGCAACUUGAAGCCCUCUUUCCAUGAGGUGAGGAGAAUGUUUAUUGAUGGUUUCCUUCCCUAGUUUUCUGCGUGGGUGCAGCUAGGUGUGCUUCGCUGUGCCAUGGGGUUAGCACAUAAGAUCUACUUAAGCUCAAGUUUAAGGGCUCUUAAUUUCAAAACUUAAGAUAGUUUUGUUGGCAUUUGAAUGAUAGUGUGAGUUAUUUCUAAACAUCAAAGGAAAGUAACCAUGCUGGAGACUUAAGUUCGUCAAAGAGCUGCAAUUUUACAUCCAAAUUCCCACUUGUCAGCCAGACUAAUGCAAAAUCAGCUUGCAUAUUUCCUGUGCAGUGAAUGGAUAGUGUGAAGUACAUAAGCCUGGAAACCAGCUGAAUGGAAAGGAGGAAGAUUGGCCAAGAGUAAACAAAAAGAGGUGUUGAGUUGUAUCUGUGUUUUACUUUGAGUGCUGUUUUGAAGCUAGAUGUUCAUACCAAACUCAACUUUGUCCAGCUUUUUGCAAUGGCAGAUGUUCUAACCAGAUCAGUGGCCUUGUUACAUGGAGAUGGGAUGAUGAAGCCUCUAAGUAAGCCCUGAAAUAUUGUGCAUGUUCUGCAUCACCUAAAAUUGUCUGUAGGAUAUAAGCAGUCACUUUUUCUUUACUAGUCACAGUUUGUAGGAAUUUAGCUUAUGCUUAUGGGUAGAAGUCAUGGAAAAUGUGUUCAGCGGCAGCAAACUGUAUGUGUUCUUUUCAGUCUUUUUCACUCACACUGUUUGCAUUUACUUUGAGUUUUCUCUAGGAUGUGGUACCCAGCAUAAAUACAAAGGUGUUUGUUUUCUUUCUCUUCCCAUGUGGAAUAGAAACUGUUAAAACUGCUGAUUUUUUUCCCUUCAGUGCAAGAGGUGCCUGAAAGGUGAAAGUCAGUGCUUGAUUCCACAAGUCCGAGUCCUGUCAUCUGUACUUGCUGCUUAACUGACUUCUCAGAUACGAACAGAAAAAAAGAGCUGUAGUUUAAAAAUAUAACAACAAGCUCAUUUCUGCCCUCUGAAAGUAAACUUUCCUGGGACAACCUCCUGAUCUGUUUGGAAAAUGAGAAAAAGAUUCUGGGCAAAAAGCAAGGCUUCUGUGAUUGUUUGCCCGGAGUGUAAAUAUUUCAUGCUUCUCUGAAUGCUUGUGUGGCCUAAAUCUUGCAGCACUGCCAUCUCAGCUAUUCUUAGGUUUGGGGACCAGGAGAAGUGCUCGUUUCCUGUCUUCCCCUCCCCCAGAAUCUCAGUUACCUUGAACAAGGAGGAAAAACGCAACCCGCAGCUGCUUUAUCAGUUCCAGCUGAAGAAUGAUGCCAGUCUGUCCUCACCUGUUGUGGAAGGAGUAGGACAGCAUAGCAGUUACACUGCAGCACUCUACCUAUUUUCUUUUCCAGGAAUGCAAAGGCAUUGCACUUCUCAACUAAUAUUAGAAUGCAGCUUAUCUGAGAGUUAUACGUGGCUUCUCCAAAGUGUGGUUAUUACAACUCAUAACUAGAUCUACUUCUCUGAUUGCCGUCUUUGGAACUUUGAUGCUGUGCACAGGCCUGAGCAACGUGAGAAAUCAGUGAAACAGAGUGUCAUAGUACCCCUUAGUGUAGUGUGAAUGUAUGUAGGUAACAGCCAUUAGUGUCUGUCAGCUGCUGCUUCUCAUCCAUAGUUACAAAUUACUUGUACACGUAGGAGCGAUUUAUAGGUACAGGUAGCAGCGCCUGUUUAGUCUCUGCAAUGUCAAACUGCUUCCCUACUUAAAAAAACAGCACACAAACAAAAAAGCCUCCACCAACAACCAUACAAAUCUUAAUUGCCAGCUUGAGCCAUAGCAGUAUGAGGAAGUCCAUGGUAGCCCCUCUGGUUUUCUCCUAAGGGAGAAAUUUAAAACAAAAGAAAACAUAUCCUCUGUCUGUAGUUGCUGUUUUGAAAAGUAAAAUAGCAUAACGACAGUUCUCUUGCUGCAUACGUUUAUUGGCAGUGGUACAUGGGUGUUAAAAGUGGGGAGAGAAGAGUCUGGGGUAUUGUGUUGAUCUCGCAUUUGCAGUCAAAGUGUAUGUACCCUUGAUAUAAAUAAUCUCUCUUCCUGACAAAUCGAUCUGCAGCAAUCCACCUAAGGUGUGAAGCUUCUUGGUGCUGCAGAAUGUGUGCAGAAGUGGCCUGGAAUCACUUGGGCAAGAGGCAGAUAGAUAGUAGCUUUGGCAUGGAGAAGAGUCCCCGUGUGUGGAGCAUAGCUGGAAGCAGGAGGCUUGUCCUAGCAUGCUCCUCCUGCAGCUUCUGACUGUCACUAGUGGAUAUAAGGGAUCUUUCAUUUCAGUGUUAGGUGUAUUUUGCACGGUGUACUUUCCUCUUACGUAGCAGUGGUGGUCAUGCUCUAUUUGCGGGUGUUGGUUUGCAGUUUCAUUUGGGGUUUUGUUUCACUUAAAGUUUGGUUGUGAAAACUGGAUAGAUCUCAGCUGCUGGCUGUAAUUCUUUCUGCUGAAGUAAAAACGUAAUAAUGCUAGCAUUAGCUGCUUUAGCUAUGAGAAGAGGAUACAGACUGAGAAAAUGUUGAACUUCAGGAGAAAAAUGUCUGCUUCCAGAAAGACUUACAGCCUGUUGCAUCACUGCUUAGGCACAGACAGUAAAGCCUUAAUCCUCCGGUGUCUGAUUCAUGCUAAUUCAGUGUUAAAGAGGCACAGCGCUGUGGUCACUUGGCUACUGAGAUUCUUGAGCCGUUCUGCUUUGCUCAGAUAAAUUCCUAAAUUGUGCAUGAAAACCAAGAAGUUUGUUGCUAAUUGAAUGCUUUCUACAGGCUUGUGAUUUUAGUUUGCAGUUUGUGCAAAGUAGUUUUAAUGUCUUUAUGGUAAUGUUAUAAGAAGUUAGUAAUAAGGUAGCAACUGUGUGAACACCUAUGAAGUGUGAUGCGAGUAUUGACUACCACUAUUGAAAAGAUAUAAAGGAAACAUUGAACAGUGCAUGUGCUACAGCAGUAAAUAAAUCACCUGAAGGACAGUAACUUAAGUCAACAUAUGUUCCUUUUAAGCUGUAGGAUCUGCUACUGCAUGCGAGUCUGUGGGUACUGAAAGGUCUGUAUGUAAGUGGAACUGGUAACACUACCCAUGUUCUCAGCUUUUUAGCUUCCCAGAAAUCUUAAUGAUGAAGUUACAGGUGCUGCGUUUUGUUCUCAAAGGCAGUAGAAUCCGAGCAGGGGAAAUCAUGCUCCAUUCUUGUUUACAUGCUGUAGAAUAAAGGCUCUUGCUUGUGAGAGCUUACCGAAUGUUUUCCAGGCUGUGAUCCUUUCAUGGGAAAGGAGUGUAUCUAAGUAGUGGGUGGGGUUUAAGAAGCUUUUGUUUCAAAAUGAGCCUUUCACAAUUCUUGAUGCUGGUCAGAUUAUACAUACCUCAGCUGUAUGAAAUAGAUGCAACUUAGCCAUGUGUAACAAAGCCUUUUCACACGUAUCUCUUGCAGGCUGGGAAUAGCAUUAACUAGAUCUAGAAGAGACUUGAGUGAAUUCUUCAUAUAAUGCGCGCUCAAGGCUACUCUAAGCUGAAUGUAUGAGUGUGUGCUGCUGCUGUUAAUCGCCUCUAAUUGCAGUAAUGUUUAGGCAAGAAAAGAAGCCACUUGGUUCAAAGGAGCUUUUUGAUGGAAGGUCAACAAUAAUAAGCAGGAAACUAAGUGGUGGGUUCACAUAUACGCAUAACAAAUAAGGGUGAAGGACUGCAUUAAUAAGGGAAGGAAUUGGUGAGUUGAUGAUUUUGAACAGAGCUAAUCUGGAAGUAGAGGGGUUGUUUGUGAAGAACUACCUUCAGCAACUGUGAGUGAAAAGUGAGUCCUGUGUGGGGACCUGCUGAAAUGAAAUGGUUGUCAUCUAAUGGCAUCAAGAAGUCAGUGCAGAACUCUGGGCCUGGAACCACAGAAUUGGCAAAAGAUCACUAAGGUGCUUGAUGGGAUUGUUUGCUUGGCCUUGAGACUGGAGGCGUCAUGGAGUGAUGCUAGAUGGAGGAAAGAAGUCUGUGUCGGUACAACAAAGUGUGGAGCGAUAGCAGUAGGACCGAGCUGAUGGUGACUGCAGGCUUGGCUUGGUGCUGGGAUGCUGCCAGCUCUCUUAAUGAGCUCCAACUGGGAAGUGGGGUGUCAGGACAUGUUGUGGAUGUGGGAGGCAAUACUGGUUUAUGGUGUUACCUAAGCUGCUCUUCUCUGCUCCUGUAGAUUACUGUUCUGACAUCAAAGCUCGGUGCUCCAUCGCUGCAGUUGUGUUGAUGGAUGCUGAGCGCGCGCUCUGAGCAGGAGACCGCUCUGCUCAGUCAGUAGAGCACUCUUUCCCACACCUCAGUUUUUGAGACAGGGCCCAGUGCAGACCCGACUACGAUCCUUCAAAAUAGAAGGGAGCUGUUGUAUGUUGUAGAACAUAAACCUUCCAAGCCCAUGUUGCUACAGAAACAGUUAUUUUAUUCACUUCUAUUCCAACAGUGUAAGUGGGUUUUCACACGUCACAUCAGUGCCUCACAUCAAGGGCUUAAGUAACGAGAAACUAAUCACAAGUUAUUAAUGAAAAAGGCUUCAGGAAUUUCAUCCUUUUGAAAAUCUAAGGCACAGAUAGGGGGCAAAAUCUCAAAGGCAUAUUGUUAAACAUUUACCGCAAGAUGCUAUUAGCUGUAGACUCAUUAGCUUGUCACAAUUUAACAAAACUAUUUCUACAGCAAAUAUGAAGCAGGCUUUGUCCUUUGUUUACAACUUGACAAGGAAAAAAUUAGGCAACAGCAUGUGGCCUAUAAUUACAGACUUUGUUAAACAAGAGGUCUGGUUGUUCAGGCAGCCUGUUCUGAUGCUUCUCAACUUCUUACUGUUUCAUUUUGUAGAGUUACAAUAGAGAUGAGCUGAACUUGAUUUUCUGCAAAUGUUUCUUCUGAGCAUCAAACAUUUCUCACUUUCAUUUCAUGGGUCGAAACAAUGCAAUUAAAACAAUGGGCUUAAUGACAGAGCAAGUCUUGCUUCAUCCCCCACUCCUUUCCGUGGUAGCUCCAGUACUUCACAAGUUACUCCUAAUGCUGGCAGAGAAGCUGAUGUUUACAGCUCAGUCUGACGCUUUUUGAAUACAGUCUUCGGUCUUCUCUAGCAAAUUAGAACCAGAUGGGAACGGUAGGGAGCAGAAUGGAAUUCAAUUCUGUUUUGUGGCUUGUGAUGUUAACAAAACUCUUAGGUUUUUUGAAUUGUUAUUUUGGCAAGAAAAUGGCUGGUAAUCCUUCUGGUCCAGUCACUGUAAUGUGCAGUUUCCUUCCAGUGCAUUGGGCUGUAUGCACUCACUGCGAUGUGUUGCUUUGCUUCCACCAAAGUGGUGGACUGCGGUAUGAGCAUAUUAGAGAUUCUUUUUUUUCCAAGUAAAAGGAUCAAAAAACAGUACAUCCUGACAGGAAAGUGUUUUCUCUGCUCAUCUGGCACUGCUAAUUCUGAAGCAAAAUGCCUUUUCCAGCUCUUUUGUCCUUUUCUCCCUACGCUGCCCUAACUGAAAGUACCUGAAGUAGUAGAGGAAUACAUAGUGGCGUUUGAUGAGGGAGAUGGACUAGGUCACGCCAAACUGAAAUGGUCACGGGCUCUUCAGCACAAACAGGAAAAGGACUUUUUCAUGUAGCUACUGCUGUGCUGCUUAUGCUGGUUGGUGCACUCUCAGGAAGAGAUGCAAUCUGGUGAAUCACAGAAAUGACACUUCCUGUUGGGCUGUGGGGAUUUUCUUACAGCUUUCCUGUGUAGCCACCGGAGCUGGUUUUGUGUAGCCUGUGUGCCCAGACAAGGGCUGCUCAGAGACAGAAGCCAAACAGUUAUACAUAGAGUGUAAUAGUUUCUGACUCAAAGUGUGUGAUAAUUGCAAAAAUAUUGUAGGGUGUGGUAGGAAGUGCUGUGUCUAAUAUUGCUGAAUAGCUGUCACUUCGUAAUUUGCCUAAAAGAACACAGUAUGCUAACUCUAAUUAACGUACAGAGGUGGGGGAAAGCUUUGCUUUUCCCUCAUCAUAUGGAACCUGUUAAUGUGCAAGAAGUUGUUCCAAUACGCUGGAGUUGUAUUGAUUUUUCUUCCAGUUGUUCAAUCUUAAACUCCAUUAUUUCUGAUUUCCUACAGAAAGAGAGUCUGCAUGCAGGAGAGAAAGUUAUAGCUUCAGAAAGGUUACUUGGGGCAGUGAGUAUUGGAAGCAGUGGUAAAACCUCAAAUUACUAUCAGAUUUCACUCGGAAUUGAAAAUAUGUAAUGAAAAAGCAUAGUUUAAAAUAGUCUGUAUCAAUUGACUAUUGUGAAAUACAUAGCUGGUUUUAAACAGUUAUUCUUAGAAAUAUUCCUAACAGUUUCUUACAAUACUGUAUUCCAGUGUCAAAAACAAGACUGAUGCUGUUACCCAGCACACACUCGAGGAGAAUUUAUGUAUAUCCUGCUGCUUUGGUGAUUUUCUUAAUAAACUGAGUGUCACAACUUCAAGAGGUGGACAGACAGGAGAGAGGGUGGUCAUGCUUUCAGGCAGAUAACUUCAAUGCAUGAGAUCUUCAAGAAGAACAAACAUAACUGACACUAUUUUUCAUAGUAAUCCACUCAAUUAAAUCUUGCACUUCUGUAAAGCAGUGGCAUGCUCUGCAGUGCUUAGAAAUAUCAGCCUGCUGCUUUCUGGGAAGCAUAUUCCCCCGGGGCUUAAGUUCAGGGCUGAGUCUAAAGACUCUUAAUGCCUUUAUUGUGCUGUCUCUAUGAUACAACGCAGGCGUUUGUGAUGGAAAUAUUUCUGUGGUCAAGUGGAAGUUCUUUUUUUUUUUUUUGGGUGGUCUGUUAGAUAAAUGGGAAUGCUUUUGAUACGAAUACAGAAGCUUUCUGAAUGUGGAAUAAUGAAAUGAUGCAUUACUCCUGCAUGCAAUUUUGUUACUUCUUACCUGGUGUUGUCUUUUUACCCCAGUGCAAGGUGUGAGCUCUGGAAGAAGAAUCCUUCCUCUCCCAUGUUUUAACCUUUGCUGUACUUGCUCCAGUCCUUAUACAGCAAACUGUUUAUUGUGGUGGACUGUGUUCUGGUGCACCUUCGAGGAAGUGAAAGAGUUAAUGCAGGAUUUGGAUUAGAGGACCGCCUAGAUUUCUCAGUGUAGUAUCUUACAUUCAGCUUCCAAAAGAGACUGUUUCAUAGGAUAAUCUGUGUUUCCCAGUGUUUUGAACCUAAGUGUUGCCACUGCCCUUUGAGUUGUCAUUUCUGGGCUCAGGUGAUCCUAAAACAUGAGCUAGUAUGUAAAGCUCUGCUUGAAAUGCAGUCCUCACACCAUUUUCAGUAAGCAGAACUAAUGCUUCCAUUCCUAAAUGAAGUUCUUGUUUGGAUAAAAAGGGCUAUAUGUUUUAAUUAGAUACAACUAAGGUCCAUGUACCUCGUUUCAGAUACUGAGAUUUUUUUCACAUAUUUUUAAAUGAAAAUAUUCCUUACUGCUGAAUGACAGCCAUGUAAACUGCUGCUAGACUGUGUGAGUAUUUGUUCAAGGAAAAGCAUGUUUUCAGAGUGUGGUUUUCGGACUUCCAGACUGAUUACACAAGCUCAAGAAGGCCCACCCCACAUCCUGUGUAGAAAGCCAGUUCACAGAAAUGCCCAUUGUUCAUCAGGAUUAUAAGUCACUGUACUUUCUGCCCGGUCCCUUUUUCAAAGCACUAUAUAGAAAAUCUUAAUGUAAAUGAACUCCAGCAGCUUAACAAGUGCUUGGUCCUGCCAGGUACUGAGCACUCUGCUCAUACUGAAAUGGAGGGAGGGGGGAAUAAACACACUGGCCUCUCUGGCUAGAAAACAAAGGUGUUGUGUUGAUUAAAAACAGCUGAGGAUGUUCUAUUCUGUGAAUCAAUUGAUAAUUUACGUACUUUGAGCCUGAAAGUUGCAGCAGCCAUGCCGGUAUUUACUUUCUUGGGGAGAAGAGAGGAGUUACAAGGAAUGCAGUUUGCUGCAAGCCUGGUAAAUUUGUCUUGGCAGUGCUUCCUCCCUGCUCACUUGCUAAUGUAAAAGGAGGAUGGGGUGUCUGGGUCUCAUAUCCCACAGUGCUGAGAUCUGUGCUGUUCUACCUACGAGUUAACUGGGCCUACCCAUGAAGAAGGAAGCUAUUGAGUACUCACAGUACUCACUCAGCCUUUUUUUUUUUCCCUGCUUCCCCUAAGCUAUCAUCUUGGAGAAUAUAUUUUUAAAAGGUGAGGUGCAGUUUGUCAUGUAACAUUUUCUAACAGGAAAAAGUGUUUCAAGAUGAAUUUUAAAUCUUAUUCAGUGUGUGUGUGUGUGUGUGUGUGUGUGUGUGUGUAUACAUACAUAUAUAUACACACUGAAUAAAAACACCAAGCACUGAUGUUGCUUGGUAGAGUUCAGUAUGUGUUUAAGACCAAAAUAUCAGUUACAAUGCUGUUGAGCACAGGCCUGCCAGGGGAAUAUUCAAGACUGUAUUUUGCUUUACAGCGGUCCUCUGAAAGGAAUCACCUCUCUCCAGUUGCUGCCAGUCUCCUGACUGUUCAGCAUUCCCCAAACAUGUGGCCCAUAAAAUGGGAUUAUAAGGGAAGGCAUUCAAGUAAGCAGAAGUUCCCUCAGGACAAGAUUUGCUUUCUCAUGUGGAGCUGCUGCAUGCUGCAGCCUGGCUGCUGCUGGCCCCAUCCCUGGCCAGGGCCUGGCACUGCUCCUCCAAGUGAGCCAGCUCUGACGCUGGCAGGGUGUACAGCCUGCCCCUGUCCUGGGGUAUACAGUGUUCUCCUGAAUAGCUGGCACAGCAGACCCCCUUCGCUGUACUUUUGGAAGGGCUCACCUGAUUACGAGUAAGGGGAACUCACCAUUUCUGUGUCUUUUCUGUGUCUGCACGUAGUAGGAAAUGACUGGUCCCGUGGCAUGGAGCUAGCUGCCAAAAAUCUGCAGUGGGCUAUAUCCAGCAGUGACUGUACAGUACUGCUGAAGUGGCCCAGUGUGUUCAUGCAGUAUGUUCCUGGAUAAGUGGCUGGGUUUUUUUUACAUGUGUUUCUUCGAACAGCAGUUAUAUUGGUGGGUAAUAAGGUGAUUAUCUCAGUGAUUGUGUGGUCCUGUCCAGCCUGUUUGUUGAAAGUGCUCAUCCUCAACUUCAGUCUGUAGUUUGAUCGCUCUCGGGUUCUCUGUUGAGUCAAAACAUUACAUCAGCCUCAGUGAGGAGCAUUCCCAGUCCUGCUCCCUCAUGGUCUGCAGCUGGUGCUGGCCCUGCCAAUUCACUCUGUGGUUGCUGCUUAGCAGGAUUAUGCAGCAUGAGAUAUAUCAAGGUACAGAACCUUCAGACUUUGUUCCUUUCAGCGUAUUUUCUUUCACAUUUAAAAAUAAAACCAUGAAUCUCAAGUGUCUUUUGUCCUUCUUUCUGGCCAGGGGAUGUUAGUUGUCACCCCGGCAAUGGUUCUGGUGAUGAGAGAUUGGAAAGAAAACAGUGAAAAUUAGCAACCAUUGGGAAAAGAAUCUAAGAAUAAACUGAGCCCAAAAAGAAUAGUUCUAGAAUGAUGGCAUUCAGUCUAAUGUAUGGAUUGUUAUUAGGAAAUCUACAGAAGAUAU